Molecule: long non-coding RNA, 5522 nt
Organism: Passer domesticus (house sparrow)
Lineage: Eukaryota; Metazoa; Chordata; Aves; Passeriformes; Passeridae
Exons: 2
Source: RefSeq, a predicted model, not a curated record
GGUAACUAUGGCAACGCGGGGGGCCGAAGGGAAGAACCGCAGUAGGCUCGGCUGGGCUGGGGCGCGCGGAGGGGCUUAUUUGAAUAUGAUUUGCAUAUGCAGAUGACGAUGCAUGGAGACGUGGGGCGGUCUGCAACCCACCAUGGCGGGCCUGAACGGACCUUAAAAACCACCUCGUUCCACCCCUGCCGUGGCAGGGACACCUUCAAUAUCCCAGGGUGCUCCAAUCCCCAUCCAGCCUGGCCUGGGACACUUCCAGGGAUCCAGGGGCAGCCACAGCUUCUCUGGGCACCCUGUGCCAGGGCUCAGCACCCUCACAGAGAAGAAUUUCCUGCUAAGAUCUUACAAUCCUCAGCUCUCCUUUACACUGCCACACAAUUCCAGUGUGGAUACAUCCCUGUUCUUUAAACCCUGAUCCCGCGUUUAUCAACAAGCGCAGCAGGAAAACCCCUGGUGGUGGAAAAAUUGAGGCAACCACGAAGAGGGGUGUGAGCAACAACCAUCAGGAUGAAAAUUUAAAAGACAAGCACAGACUGCCAGCCUAGAGGAUGCCAUGACAGCUCCCGUUGUGGAGAUUCCCGUGUGGAAUGUUAAUUGUUGUCUGUCAGGCCAAGCCCCGGUGAGCCAGGGUGCUCCUCACCUGCCCCGAGGUAAUCCCAGCUCACCACAAUUAAGGCAUUAAUUCGAUACCUGAAGGAUCAGCCACCAACAUUCCACAAAGGUGUGAUCAUUUUUCCAUGAAAAUUUGCUGAAUACUGGCUGCCAGAGUGAAAAUGGGGACAAAGGGAUCGGUCAAAUUCAGUUGGUGUAUUUUAAUAUCCUGUAGAGGAAUGGAUAAAUGGGGUUGGCAGCGACAGGAGAUAAAGGAUGAGCUCCCUGAACACAAAUAAUCUCCUUCAGAGCAGCGUCGCUUUCAUUUGGGUAAAAAAAGGAACUGGCUGAGCUGCCUGAAGCUGCUCUUUGAGUAUUUCCAGCCCCUGCUGACUGCGUUUGACACACCUGGGCUGUAACAGCUGGAGCUGGGAAAGCAGAAGGUGAGGGAAGCUCGUGUCUCAGCUUUGGGACAGAGCAGAGCCCUUGGGAGCAUGGAGAGGGCACAGGAAAGGGCUGUUCCCUCCCAAAAGCUUCCUGUUUGUCCCCACACAGCACACAGGGUGCUUUAAGGAUGUUGGUGCCUCUGCUCUGCAGGUCAGGGCUGCUCAGGGCACAAGAAGAGAGGAGCAGCACCUCCAGAGCUCAGCCCUGAGUGGCUAAGGCAGCCCAGCAUGGAAAAGGUGCCAGGACAGAGUUUGAGCAGAAAACCUGGAUGAGGAAUAAAGCAGGAUCCUGGCCUGGGUGGGUACCAAGCUCAGCACACAUCUGUGCACUGUGUCCACCUGGCUACACCCAGCCCCUUCUCCUCCAGCCUCAGCUCCUUGUGGAUUUGUUUCACCCUUCGAGUCUGCAACACUUUGCAGAUGCUUGGUGCAUUUCUCCUCACAGAACUGGUCUGGGCAAAGAGUUUGUGGUAUUAGGAGGCCAGCCCCAUCCCUAGUGGGUUACAGCUGUGAAAAGCAGGUGAACAGCACUGAAAGUAAAGAGAAACAGAGUGCUGAGGUGUACUGCCCAAUCACACAGGGAGCAGAGGGCACACAGGGGCACUGCAUGAACGUGAGGGGUAUAAAAGUUUGGGCUAAAGAACAAGAAGGGCAGGUGCAUGCAGCUUUCUGAAGUGCCAUGGUGUGACUCUGUAUGGGUGAAUGCUUUAAGCCUUCUGAAAUUGCAUGGUGACACUCUGUAUUGUGGCUGUGAAUGUACUGCAAGAGUUCAGUUCCUCUUUGGUGACAACACCCUGACUUGUGCAGCUCAGCUGUUUGCUGCCUCAGGAACCAUCUUCCCUGUUUUUAUCCUGGACAUCCUACAACCAACAGGAAGACCUGCCAUGGUGGGCAUCCUCUGGCCCAGGUCCUGUGUUGCUCCAAAAUGAGGUCUGGAAGCUGUCCCUGAACCCUGUCACCUCUUCCUGGCACCAAUGGCCUCAGUGUCACUGCCAACAGAGCCCUUCAGAGCAUUUCCUCCAGGCACAGCAUCAUCGACCUCCAGCUCUUUGUCCCACAAAUCACAACAAGGCUGAGGUGGUGACAAACCAGCUGUUUCACAAGAGAAAUCCGACAUGAAAAGGCAAAGCGUACAAGCUGUUGCUUAAAUGUAUGGAAAAACAUGGGAAGAAUCUCACAGGCAAGUAAAGCAUCAGAGAAGAGGGCCUUGGUAUGGAUGCAGCUGGUUUGGGAUCUCAUGGAUCUGCCCUGAAUUACAGAAAGUGUGGAGAAGGCAAGUCCCUUCCUGUGCUGCCUGUCAGGGAGUGAUAACCAUUUCAUCUGUAAUGGGAAGAGCAGCCCCACAUUCCCUCUCCUGGCAGAGGCUGAGUUUUCACAGGACUGUCCCUUCCUCCUUCAGCACUGAGCAAGGGAUGAACACCUCGAGCUCUUCUGGAAAGCAGCCCUGACACACCACAGUCAGCACCUCCCUCCUGCAUCUUUGGCUGUCCUUACUUUUAUGGAGGCACUUCUUGGAUUUUUGGGCAGAAGGAAACUACUGGGAGGGAGGAGCAGCCAUUGAGGGCUGAUGGACCCUUCCCACCACAGGCCAAGCUCCAGGUGUGGUGGCUGCACCUUGCAGCCAGGCCCCAGAGGGCUGAGCUCCCUGCCAGCAGGAAGAGCAGAUUUUGGGAAGCUGGGCUGAUGGCAGGAAUUCAGGAUGAAUAAGUUACUGGACACAGGGGGAUGAGGGAAGUGAUUCUGCUCCUGUGCUCUCCUCAGGUGAGACCCCACCUGCAGUGCUGUGUCCAACAGAAGGAUGUGGAGCUGCUGGAUGAGUCCAGAGGAGGCCACAGGACUGAGCCUCUGCUCUGGGGCCAGGCUGGGAGACUUGGGAGUGCUCAGCCUGGAGAACACUCAGACCUUCCAGCAGCUUCCAGUAUCUCAAGGGGCUACAAGAGAGCUGGAGAGGGACUUUGGACAAGGACCUGGAGACAGCACAAAGGGGAAUGGCUUCCCACUGUCAGAGGGCAGGGAUAGAUGGGAUACUGGGAAGAAAUUCUUCCCUUCAAGGGAGGUGAAACACUGACACAGAUUGUCCAGAGCAGCUGUGGCUGCCCCAUCCCUGGAAGAGUUCAAGGCCAAGCUGAAUGGGCUUGGAGCAACCUGGAGCAAUGUAAUUGCAGCUGCUGCUGCUUCACUGCUUCACUGUAUUUUGGAAUCACAGAAUGGUUGGGGUUGGAAGGGCCAUGGGCAGGGACACCUUCCCCAAGAGCAGUCUGUUCCAAGCCCUUUAGGCACUGGAAGGUGCUGCAAGGUCUCCCCAUAGCUCAGAGCACCUCAGACUCUGGUAUGGCCUCCCUGCAGUCACAGCUGAUCCUGUUUGUGUCCCAGCCUGGCCAGAAGGUUUCUAUACCCCUAUCCCAUAGCAACAGGAAGGGCAAGAACUCCACCUACCCUUCCAACCAAGCUCCAAAAAUCCAGCCUAAAAAUCAGACACCCAACAACCUUUUGUGGGACCAAGGCUCCUUGAAGCUGGCAUUGCCUGAAACAUUCCUCUUAAAACAGAAACUCCUUUCCCUGCCUGGAGGAGGUGAAAUGAGGCUGAUCCUUGACAAUGCUGACUAGAUGCAGCUCUUUCCUGACCCUCACGUUUAUCCCCAGGGUCAGUGCCACACAAAGCAAUCCCAGAAAGAGCAGCAGAGCCAGAGACACCAACUAAGGCAAACUGAACAGACGUCCAGUGGAGGCUGCUGCACCCACCCUUGGGCACAUUUUCAACCCAAGAUGAGCAGAGCCAAGAAAAUCAGCUCUGCUGUUACAAGAUACCUGCACAACCUCUCCUGGCUGCAUUGCACAGAGGGACUGGAGGUCACCCUUUGGAUCACCAGUAUACGUUUCCCUGAGGCUUCCUGGGACCAAACAAGGAAGACAUGGAAAAUCACCAUGAGUGCUUUCCUUUUUGACUCAAUAGAUCAUUUUGGAGCAAGAUCUUCUCCUCCAGGGGUGGAGGAAAAGAGAAGGCUACAGCCAAGAUGGUUGGGAAAUGGGAGGGAAUGGACCCAAACCCAACAGCAUCAUGUACCAAGGCCUCUUCUAGCAGAACCUUCCAGAAGAAGAUUUAACAACGCCGCGACUGCCCCCUGCUACUCUUCAGGCUUCAAAUGCAUUGGCCAAAAUCCUGCUGCCAGAGGAAUGCCCCUGGUGUGUCACGGCCGUGGUGUCCCAUGCACUAUUUCCGCAGCCGGGUGUACACGGCGAAUGCCACGGCAGAAAUGACACCGAUGGCUGGAAGGAUGUACAGCAGGGACAGGCCAUUGCUGUCCCCCUUUGGGACUCUGGCCUGAGGUGAGCUGGUGGCAGUGUCACAGCCACUGCCAGGGCUGGAAUUCAGGGAGCUUCCAAGGGCACUGACUCCGUCAUUGCCGGCUCCAAGAUGGACGCUGGGGUGAUGAUCCACACGGAGCUCGUGGGUGCCCAGGGAGCUGCUGUUCCAGCUCGGAGCAGGACAGGAGUCUCUUCUUGCUCCAGAUGCCUCCUUUUCUCUGGGGGCUGCAGGAACUGAGGAGACUCUGGGCAGUGCUGCUCCUGAGCUCAGGCUAUCCCUGCUCACCAGGAUUGGGUCGCUGCUGAGGCCGAGGCUGCUGGGGGUGGUGGAACAGGGGUUGCUGGGCUCCCGAGAGCUCGGAAAUCUGCCAGCCACCUCUGGGCUGCCCUGCGGCGUGGACACAAGGACACCUGGCUUGCUGAGCUCCUCUUCCCUCUCCUCAUCACCGUGAGACAGCCAGAUGCUCGUGGCAGAGCUCACCCGGGAUGCUGAUCUCCCAUCUCUCUCUUCGGAGCCGCCCACCACAGCUGUGCCCAGGGCAGGGUGUGCCGAGGCCGGGAGCACCUUUGGGAGACAAGGAGAGGGGCUGGGUGUCAAGGGAAGCACCCAACAGCCUGGUCUUGGGCACACAGGUCCCACACAAACCCACUUCAACACAGCCUGCAUCCACAAGGCUGGGUCACAGGUAACAGGGAGGUGAAGGAGGGAGGGAGGCAGUGGAAAAGAGCACUUGGAAGCCAGGAGACUGGCAAGGUGAGGUGGGGAAAUAAGGAGUCAAAGCCCAACAAAGUUUGGCUCCCUUCUCCCAUGCUCCACCAUACAGCGUGUGGAUGGGAUUUUUUUCCCACCACCACAGUGGGGGAAAAAAAAAUCCCUGAAUAAACUCAUCACCAGCUCACAGUGUGACACUGCAACAGAAAAUCUCCUAAACACGGGGAGUGCACAAGGACACAAAUGAAAUCCAAGUGGCAAGAGGAAAGGUCACCUACUUUCUCCUUCGUUGGCACAGAGGGGGUGCUGCUGGCUGUAUUCCCAACAGGCAGUUUCUUCUCUUGCGUAAGAGACUUGACAGAGGUGUCACGGGAUGGGAAAGUGUCUCUGGGCACAGGGGUAGCAGCCAGGGUUGUUUCCAUCGAAGCACCUGUCACAGAGAAAAUAAAGUGUUGUGUAAACCAAGG